This 329-nucleotide ribosomal RNA is filed under the name uncultured eukaryote. RNAcentral describes it as "partial 18S ribosomal RNA". It matches the Rfam family "Eukaryotic small subunit ribosomal RNA", at positions 1470 to 1796 of the family's 1831-position model. The record is from RNAcentral.
CCCUUAGAUGUUCUGGGCUGCACGCGCGCUACACUGAAGCGUUCAACGAGUAUUCACCUUGCCCGGGAGGGUUGGGUAAUCUUUUGAAAACGCUUCGUGAUGGGGAUAGAUUAUUGCAAUUAUUAAUCUUCAACGAGGAAUUCCUAGUAAGCGCGAGUCAUCAGCUCGUGCUGAUUACGUCCCUGUCCUUUGUACACACCGCCCGUCGCUACUACCGAUUGGAUCAUUUGGUGAGGCCCGCGGACUGUUGUGCUUUCUUCCUCGUGUUGAUUGCACUUCUUGGGAAGCGGUACGAACCUGAUGAUCUAGAGGAAGUAAAAGUCGUAACA